CGCGCAGGCGGCGGUGCUGGCCCGGCGUGAAAGCCCCCGGCUCAACCGGGGAGAGUCGUCGGGGACCGCACCGCUUGAGGGCGGUAGGGGCCGGUGGAAUGCCUGGUGUAGUGGUGAAAUGCGUAGAGAUCAGGCAGAACACCUGGGGCGAAGGCGGCCGGCUGGGCCGUCCCUGACGCUGAGGCGCGAAGGCGUGGGGAGCGAACG
This 207-nucleotide ribosomal RNA is filed under the name uncultured bacterium. RNAcentral describes it as "partial 16S ribosomal RNA". It matches the Rfam family "Bacterial small subunit ribosomal RNA", at positions 568 to 774 of the family's 1533-position model. The record is from RNAcentral.